Molecule: non-coding RNA, 315 nt
Organism: Camellia sinensis
Lineage: Eukaryota; Viridiplantae; Streptophyta; Magnoliopsida; Ericales; Theaceae
Source: RefSeq, a predicted model, not a curated record
UUUGGUUGUUUUUAUUUGUGGUGUUUGGCUUGGGGUUUGAUCUUGUAGUUGAAGGUUGGUAAUGGUGAAGAUUGCAUACCUCGUAAUGGAUGAUGGAAUUUUAACAAGGAUGUGCUCUUUCAAGUUCAUUGGUUGACAGCGAUGCUAACCAAUUUCUUAUUCUCUAUGGCAAGAGACUCCAUGUGAGCUACUAAGCAGAUUCUAAUGUUGUAUCUACUGAAUGGGAAGUUGAGAGUGAUGAUGAAAGUGAGGAAGAAUCUGAAUGUGGGUUAACAACUUUGGUUGACAUGCCUCUUAACAGUUUUCCAUCUACAG